AAAUCCCUGUGUCUCAGCAGCUUGCGAAUUAACUUUUCCAUUACUUUUAUGAAUCAUGCGGAGAUUAUUAAUUAGAAAAUGUUGGAAAGAGAGAGAGAGAGAGAGGUAUAAUAAAUUAGCAGUGGGAAAAGACAACAGCUUGCUUUUUUCUUGGCGUCCAAACACCAUCAUCCGUCUUCAAUCAUUGUAAAAACGGGAGAAGAUCGAUAUGCAUACAGAGAAUGAAUCUUUACAUUAAAUAAAUAAAUAUAUUUUUUGAGUUUCAG
RNAcentral lists this long non-coding RNA (266 nucleotides) under Carica papaya (papaya). RNAcentral's name for it is "long non-coding RNA (CPAP_LNC008932)". The record is from RNAcentral. Lineage: Eukaryota; Viridiplantae; Streptophyta; Magnoliopsida; Brassicales; Caricaceae.